CAGCCGCGGUAAUACGUAGGGUGCGAGCGUUGUCCGGAAUUAUUGGGCGUAAAGAGCUUGUAGGCGGUUUGUCGCGUCUGCUGUGAAAGCCCGGGGCUUAACCCUGGGUCUGCAGUGGGUACGGGCAGGCUAGAGUGUGGUAGGGGAGACUGGAAUUCCUGGUGUAGCGGUGGAAUGCGCAGAUAUCAGGAGGAACACCGAUGGCGAAGGCAGGUCUCUGGGCCAUUACUGACGCUGAGAAGCGAAAGCGUGGGGAGCGAACAGGAUUAGA
This 271-nucleotide ribosomal RNA is filed under the name uncultured Actinomycetales bacterium. RNAcentral describes it as "partial 16S ribosomal RNA". It matches the Rfam family "Bacterial small subunit ribosomal RNA", at positions 512 to 782 of the family's 1533-position model. Lineage: Bacteria; Bacillati; Actinomycetota; Actinomycetes; Actinomycetales. The record is from RNAcentral.